Molecule: unclassified non-coding RNA, 1264 nt
Filed under: uncultured fungus
Lineage: Eukaryota; Fungi
Description: sequence contains 18S rRNA gene, ITS1, 5.8S rRNA gene, ITS2, 28S rRNA gene
Source: RNAcentral
CCGUCGAUCCCUAGUUCGAAGCUGUACUGCGCUGGGGUGUAACGAAGCGGCGCCAUGCCCUUUAGAAACAGGGCGUGGCGCCGUUGCGUUUGGGCGACGGGGCUAUCGCACCGCGAACUGAGUGGCGGCGCUCGCCGAGCGCCCCGGCCUUUUUGGCGAGCAUGUCCACACGGUAUGCCCCGACGGAUCCCUGUUUCUUCAGGCGAAGCUUGUACAGGGCGGUCCCGUCGCCUCCGGUCGUUAUAUUCGCCACCACGAUCGCACCCGAUGCCUUGGUGAUGGUGAACGUCACCGGUCAGAUGCCGACGACCGGCGUCGGCUUUCUAGCCACCACGACAGGCUGACGCGGCGUCGAUGAAGGCGAGCAGAGGACCGAGAAUCGGGCUCUCGUACUCGCCCGAACCCUCACCACGUGUCGAUACAGCGGCGCUUCUUGACGCGCCGCGGGGCAGGUUCCGGGGUCCGAGCAAGCCCUAGUCGAAAUGAAGCCCUCGCGCGGCGACGAGCUCGCGCGCCAUCGCCUCGGCCCUCGUGAAAGCGGUGCAGCGAAUGGAGCACGUGACCGAGCAGCAAGAGAGCUUCCGGGCUGUGAGGCCUGCGCGCCGCGAUGCAGCGGCCGCAUUGCUCGGCGAGCUUCGAGUAGCCCGGGUCGUAGCUGCGGCGCGCCUUCGGCGUAAACAACCAGCCGAGUCGCUCGAGCCAGACGAUAGAAUCGGCGUCUCUCGCGCGAUCCUGGGCUCGGGAAUCUCGCGAUCGAGGGGUUCGGUUCCCUCGUGGGGGAGGAGUGCGAUCACGCAGGGGUCGAGCGGCGGAGUCGCUGCUUCACCGGCCAGCACCGAGCCCGGAAGAGCGAGCGUCGCUGCGACGACGAAUACGAAGAAAAGCCUGAGUGUUGCUGCACACUCCACGGGAGCCUCGUGGUUACUCGAGUCCGCCGGCGGGUCACGCCGCGGACGCGCUGUUCAUGCCUCCAAUACGACGCUCGCCGCAUUCGGAUGAAGUGACGAUCCGCGGGAUGGUAAAUCAUCCGUCAUGGGCAUAUGGGGGCUCGGCGUGCGUUCGCGCACCGAGCUGGCCUCGGAUGAACCAGGCCAAGGCUCGCGGCUCGCAAUGCCGUGCUGCGCACGCGACCGCGAAGGCCCGAACAGGUCGCGGUUCACGGUACCGACCCCGCCCACCAGGCCGUCGGCCGGCGUCUUCUCGAUGAGCUCUUCUACGGAGCGUCGCCGCCGCUGCGCGGCGAUCACCAGCGGACCGUACUCCA